RNAcentral lists this ribosomal RNA (465 nucleotides) under uncultured bacterium. RNAcentral describes it as "partial 16S ribosomal RNA". It matches the Rfam family "Bacterial small subunit ribosomal RNA", at positions 28 to 507 of the family's 1533-position model. The record is from RNAcentral.
GACGAACGCUGGCGGCGUGCUUAACACAUGCAAGUCGAACGGAAAGGCCCUGCUUGCAGGGUACUCGAGUGGCGAACGGGUGAGUAACACGUGGGUGAUCUGCCCUGCACUUCGGGAUAAGCUUGGGAAACUGGGUCUAAUACCGGAUAGGAGCCAUCUUUAGUGUGGUGGUUGGAAAGUUUUUUCGGUGUAGGAUGAGCUCGCGGCCUAUCAGCUUGUUGGUGGGGUAAUGGCCUACCAAGGCGGCGACGGGUAGCCGGCCUGAGAGGGUGUACGGCCACAUUGGGACUGAGAUACGGCCCAGACUCCUACGGGAGGCAGCAGUGGGGAAUAUUGCACAAUGGGCGCAAGCCUGAGGCAGCGACGCCGCGUGGGGGAUGAAGGCCUUCGGGUUGUAAACUCCUUUCGCUAGGGACGAAGCUUUUUGUGACGGUACCUAGAUAAGAAGCACCGGCUAACUACGUG